AUGAAUUUUUGAAAUGGCCGUUU
Molecule: small nuclear RNA, 23 nt
Filed under: Arabidopsis thaliana (thale cress)
Lineage: Eukaryota; Viridiplantae; Streptophyta; Magnoliopsida; Brassicales; Brassicaceae
Description: snRNA_14662
Source: RNAcentral